This is a ribosomal RNA of 871 nucleotides. The stretch from base 312 to 871 matches the Rfam family "Eukaryotic large subunit ribosomal RNA", at positions 1 to 648 of the family's 3401-position model.
AACCUGCGGAAGGAUCAUUAAAAAUAUUAUUACACACUUUUAGGAAAAAACAACUGAACCUUUUUUUUCAAUAACACAAUUAAAAAACUUUCAACAACGGAUCUCUUGGUUCUCGCAUCGAUGAAGAACGCAGCGAAUUGCGAUACGUAAUAUGACUUGCAGACGUGAAUCAUUGAAUCUUUGAACGCACAUUGCGCCCCGGGGUAUUCCCCAGGGCAUGCGUGGGUGAGCGAUAUUUACUCUCAAACCUCCGGUUUGGUCCUGCUUCGGCCUAAUAUCAACGGCGCUAGAAUAAGUUUUAGCCCCAUUCUUUUUCCUCACCCUCGUAAGACUACCCGCUGAACUUAAGCAUAUCAAUAAGCGGAGGAAAAGAAACCAACAGGGAUUGCCUCAGUAACGGCGAGUGAAGCGGCAAAAGCUCAAAUUUGAAAUCCCCCGGGAAUUGUAAUUUGAAGAGAUUUGGGUCCGGCCGGCGGGGGUUAAGUCCACUGGAAAGUGGCGCCACAGAGGGUGACAGCCCCGUGAACCCCUUCAACGCCCUCAUCCCAGAUCUCCAAGAGUCGAGUUGUUUGGGAAUGCAGCUCUAAGUGGGUGGUAAAUUCCAUCUAAAGCUAAAUACCGGCGAGAGACCGAUAGCGAACAAGUACAGUGAUGGAAAGAUGAAAAGCACUUUGAAAAGAGAGUGAAAAAGUACGUGAAAUUGUUGAAAGGGAAGGGCUUGCAAGCAGACACUUAACUGGGCCAGCAUCGGAGCGGCGGGAAACAAAACCACCGGGGAAUGUACCUCUCGAGGAUUAUAACCCCGGUCUCAAUUUCCUUGUUGCCCCGAGGCCUGCAAUCUAAGGAUGCUGGCGUAAUGGUUGCAAGUCGC